Molecule: ribosomal RNA, 301 nt
Filed under: uncultured bacterium
Lineage: Bacteria
Description: partial 16S ribosomal RNA
Rfam family: Bacterial small subunit ribosomal RNA
Source: RNAcentral
CAGUAGCCGCGGUAAUGCGUAGGGUGCAAGCGUUAAUCGGAAUUACUGGGCGUAAAGCGUGCGCAGGCGGUUUGUUAAGACAGAUGUGAAAUCCCCGGGCUCAACCUGGGAACUGCAUUUGUGACUGGCAAGCUAGAGUGUGGCAGAGGGGGGUGGAAUUCCGCGUGUAGCAGUGAAAUGCGUAGAUAUGCGGAGGAACACCGAUGGCGAAGGCAGCCCCCUGGGCCAACACUGACGCUCAUGCGCGAAAGCGUGGGGAGCAAGCAGGAUUAGAUACCCCUGUAGUCCCUGUCUCUUAUAA